Molecule: ribosomal RNA, 253 nt
Filed under: uncultured bacterium
Lineage: Bacteria
Description: partial 16S ribosomal RNA
Rfam family: Bacterial small subunit ribosomal RNA
Source: RNAcentral
UACGUAGGUGGCAAGCGUUAUCCGGAUUUAUUGGGCGUAAAGGGAACGCAGGCGGUCUUUUAAGUCUGAUGUGAAAGCCUUCGGCUUAACCGGAGUGGUGCAUUGGAAACUGGGAGACUUGAGUGCAGAAGAGGAGAGUGGAACUCCAUGUGUAGCGGUGAAAUGCGUAGAUAUAUGGAAGAACACCAGUGGCGAAAGCGGCUCUCUGGUCUGUAACUGACGCUGAGGUUCGAAAGCGUGGGUAGCAAACAGG